Molecule: ribosomal RNA, 232 nt
Filed under: uncultured bacterium
Lineage: Bacteria
Description: partial 16S ribosomal RNA
Rfam family: Bacterial small subunit ribosomal RNA
Source: RNAcentral
CGGGGUGGGUAACGCGUGGGUAACCUGCCUCAUACAGGGGGAUAACAGUUAGAAAUGGCUGCUAAUACCGCAUAAGCACACAGCUUCGCAUGGAGCAGUGUGAAAAACUCCGGUGGUAUGAGAUGGACCCGCGUCUGAUUAGCUAGUUGGUAAGGUAACGGCUUACCAAGGCGACGAUCAGUAGCCGACCUGAGAGGGUGACCGGCCACAUUGGGACUGAGACACGGCCCAA